Molecule: ribosomal RNA, 819 nt
Filed under: uncultured Acidobacteriota bacterium
Lineage: Bacteria; Pseudomonadati; Acidobacteriota
Description: bacterial SSU rRNA
Rfam family: Bacterial small subunit ribosomal RNA
Source: RNAcentral
AAAGGGGCUUCGGCCCUGAGUAGAGUGGCGAACGGGUGAGUGACACGUGGGUGACCUACCUUCGAAUGGGGGAUAACGUUCCGAAAGGGACGCUAAUACCACAUAACAUCCUGCCUUUGAACAGGUGGAGAUCAAAGCCGGGGAUCGCAAGACCUGGCGUUUGAAGAGGGGCCCGCGUCCGAUUAGCUAGUUGGUGAGGUAAUGGCUCACCAAGGCAACGAUCGGUAGCCGGCCUGAGAGGGCGGACGGCCACACUGGGACUGAGACACGGCCCAGACUCCUACGGGAGGCAGCAGUGGGGAAUUGUUCGCAAUGGGCGCAAGCCUGACGACGCAACGCCGCGUGGAGGAUGAAGGUCUUCGGAUUGUAAACUCCUGUUGCCCGGGACGAAUGGCUCUGACCUAACACGUCAGAGUGUGACGGUACCGGGUGAGGAAGCCCCGGCUAACUCUGUGCCAGCAGCCGCGGUAAUACAGAGGGGGCAAGCGUUGUUCGGAAUUACUGGGCGUAAAGGGCGCGUAGGCGGCCUGCUAAGUCGAACGUGAAAUCCCCGGGCUCAACCCGGGAACUGCGUUCGAUACUGGUUGGCUUGAAUCCGGGAGAGGGAUGCGGAAUUCCAGGUGUAGCGGUGAAAUGCGUAGAUAUCUGGAGGAACACCGGUGGCGAAGGCGGCAUCCUGGACCGGCAUUGACGCUGAGGCGCGAAAGCCAGGGGAGCAAACGGGAUUAGAUACCCCGGUAGUCCUGGCCCUAAACGAUGAAUGCUUGGUGUGGCGGGUAUCGAUCCCUGCUGUGCCGAAGCUAACGCAUUAAGCAUUCU